This 1482-nucleotide ribosomal RNA is filed under the name Escherichia coli. RNAcentral describes it as "partial 23S ribosomal RNA". It matches the Rfam family "Bacterial large subunit ribosomal RNA", at positions 1252 to 2719 of the family's 2925-position model. The record is from RNAcentral. Lineage: Bacteria; Pseudomonadati; Pseudomonadota; Gammaproteobacteria; Enterobacterales; Enterobacteriaceae.
GAAGGUGUGCUGUGAGGCAUGCUGGAGGUAUCAGAAGUGCGAAUGCUGACAUAAGUAACGAUAAAGCGGGUGAAAAGCCCGCUCGCCGGAAGACCAAGGGUUCCUGUCCAACGUUAAUCGGGGCAGGGUGAGUCGACCCCUAAGGCGAGGCCGAAAGGCGUAGUCGAUGGGAAACAGGUUAAUAUUCCUGUACUUGGUGUUACUGCGAAGGGGGGACGGAGAAGGCUAUGUUGGCCGGGCGACGGUUGUCCCGGUUUAAGCGUGUAGGCUGGUUUUCCAGGCAAAUCCGGAAAAUCAAGGCUGAGGCGUGAUGACGAGGCACUACGGUGCUGAAGCAACAAAUGCCCUGCUUCCAGGAAAAGCCUCUAAGCAUCAGGUAACAUCAAAUCGUACCCCAAACCGACACAGGUGGUCAGGUAGAGAAUACCAAGGCGCUUGAGAGAACUCGGGUGAAGGAACUAGGCAAAAUGGUGCCGUAACUUCGGGAGAAGGCACGCUGAUAUGUAGGUGAAGUCCCUCGCGGAUGGAGCUGAAAUCAGUCGAAGAUACCAGCUGGCUGCAACUGUUUAUUAAAAACACAGCACUGUGCAAACACGAAAGUGGACGUAUACGGUGUGACGCCUGCCCGGUGCCGGAAGGUUAAUUGAUGGGGUUAGCGCAAGCGAAGCUCUUGAUCGAAGCCCCGGUAAACGGCGGCCGUAACUAUAACGGUCCUAAGGUAGCGAAAUUCCUUGUCGGGUAAGUUCCGACCUGCACGAAUGGCGUAAUGAUGGCCAGGCUGUCUCCACCCGAGACUCAGUGAAAUUGAACUCGCUGUGAAGAUGCAGUGUACCCGCGGCAAGACGGAAAGACCCCGUGAACCUUUACUAUAGCUUGACACUGAACAUUGAGCCUUGAUGUGUAGGAUAGGUGGGAGGCUUUGAAGUGUGGACGCCAGUCUGCAUGGAGCCGACCUUGAAAUACCACCCUUUAAUGUUUGAUGUUCUAACGUUGACCCGUAAUCCGGGUUGCGGACAGUGUCUGGUGGGUAGUUUGACUGGGGCGGUCUCCUCCUAAAGAGUAACGGAGGAGCACGAAGGUUGGCUAAUCCUGGUCGGACAUCAGGAGGUUAGUGCAAUGGCAUAAGCCAGCUUGACUGCGAGCGUGACGGCGCGAGCAGGUGCGAAAGCAGGUCAUAGUGAUCCGGUGGUUCUGAAUGGAAGGGCCAUCGCUCAACGGAUAAAAGGUACUCCGGGGAUAACAGGCUGAUACCGCCCAAGAGUUCAUAUCGACGGCGGUGUUUGGCACCUCGAUGUCGGCUCAUCACAUCCUGGGGCUGAAGUAGGUCCCAAGGGUAUGGCUGUUCGCCAUUUAAAGUGGUACGCGAGCUGGGUUUAGAACGUCGUGAGACAGUUCGGUCCCUAUCUGCCGUGGGCGCUGGAGAACUGAGGGGGGCUGCUCCUAGUACGAGAGGACCGGAGUGGACGCAUCACUGGUGUUCGG